This is a non-coding RNA of Ictidomys tridecemlineatus (thirteen-lined ground squirrel), 72 nucleotides long. Lineage: Eukaryota; Metazoa; Chordata; Mammalia; Rodentia; Sciuridae. The record is from Rfam.
AGGGAUGUGGCUCAGUGCUAGAGCACUUGCCUAGCAUGUGCUAGACCCUGGGUUCAAUCCCCAGCACCACAA